CUCGAUGGAUAACAGGUUGAAAUUCCUGUACUAUCCUGUAACAGAACUGUGGGGACACAGGCAGAGAGCGUGAGCCGGGAAUGGAAAGACCGGUACAAGCGAGGUAGGAGAAGAGUUGGCAAAUCCGCUCUUUAAUCUGAAGACGUGAUGUGGACUGAAAAUAAGUAGGGAAGCACGUGAGCUGACUGUCAAGAAAAGCCGCUAUUGUUUGCAGGAUACCCGUACCGUAAACCAACACAGGUGGAUGAGGAGAGAAUCCUAAGGCCGACGGGAGAAGCAUUGUUAAGGAACUCGGCAAAAUGACUCCGUAACUUCGGGAGAAGGAGUGCCAGUAAGAUGGCCGCAGAGAAUUGGCCCAAGCAACUGUUUAGCAAAAACACAGGUCUAUGCAAAACCGAAAGGUGAGGUAUAUGGGCUGACGCCUGCCCGGUGCUGGAAGGUUAAGGGGAGAGGUUAGCGCAAGCGAAGCUUUGAACUUAAGCCCCAGUAAACGGCGGCCGUAACUAUAACGGUCCUAAGGUAGCGAAAUUCCUCGUCGGGUAAGUUCCGACCCGCACGAAAGGCGUAAUGAUUUGGGCACUGUCUCAACAAUGCACCCGGUGAAAUUGAAAUACCAGUGAAGAUGCUGGUUACCUGCGCCAGGACGGAAAGACCCCAUGGAGCUUUACUCCAGCUUGAUACUGGGAUUCGGUAUUGCAUGUACAGGAUAGGUGGGAGGCUAGGAAAUGGUAACGCCAGUUGCCAUGGAGCCAAUGUUGGGAUACCACCCUUGCAGUACUGGGUUUCUAACCAGCAGCCGUGAUCCGGCUGGGGGACAAUGUCAGGUGGGGAGUUUGACUGGGGCGGUCGCCUCCGAAAGGGUAUCGGAGGCGCUCAAAGGUUCCCUCAGAAUGGUUGGAAACCAUUCGAAGAGUGCAAAGGCAGAAGGGAGCUUGACUGCGACACCGACGGGUGGAGCAGUUACGAAAGUAGGACUUAGUGAUCCGGUGGUAUAAAGUGGGAUUGCCAUCGCUCAACGGAUAAAAGCUACCCUGGGAUAACAGGCUUAUCACUCCCAAGAGUUCACAUCGACGGAGUGGUUUGGCACCUCGAUGUCGGCUCAUCGCAUCCUGGGGCUGAAGUAGGUCCCAAGGGUUGGGCUGUUCGCCCAUUAAAGCGGUACGCGAGCUGGGUUCAGAACGUCGUGAGACAGUUCGGUCCCUAUCCGGCGUGGGCGUAAGAUAUUUGAGAGGAGCUGUCCUUAGUACGAGAGGACCGGGAUGGACUGGCCGCUGGUGUAUCUGUUGUCUUACCAAAGGCAUAGCAGAGUAGCCAAGCCGGGAAGGGAUAAACGCUGAAGGCAUCUAAGCGUGAAGCCCCCCUCAAGAUGAGAUAUCUCAUAACGUCAAGUUAGUAAGACCCCUUGAAGACGACGAGGUAGAUAGGGCAGAGGUGGAAGUUGGUAACACAUGGAGCUGACUGUUACUAAUAGGUCGAGGGCAUAACC
Molecule: ribosomal RNA, 1486 nt
Filed under: metagenome
Description: bacterial LSU rRNA
Rfam family: Bacterial large subunit ribosomal RNA
Source: RNAcentral